UACGGGGAGGUGCGACGUUGUCCGGAAUCACUGGGCGUAAAGGGAGCGUAGGCGGAUAGUUUAGUCAGAGGUGAAAGCCCAGGGCUCAACCUUGGAAUUGCCUUUGAUACUGGCUAUCUUGAGUACGGAAGAGGUAUGUGGAACUCCGAGUGUAGAGGUGAAAUUCGUAGAUAUUCGGAAGAACACCAGUGGCGAAGGCGACAUACUGGUCCG
This 213-nucleotide ribosomal RNA is filed under the name uncultured bacterium. RNAcentral's name for it is "partial 16S ribosomal RNA". It matches the Rfam family "Bacterial small subunit ribosomal RNA", at positions 524 to 736 of the family's 1533-position model. The record is from RNAcentral.